This 485-nucleotide long non-coding RNA is filed under the name Triticum aestivum (bread wheat). Its description in RNAcentral is "long non-coding RNA (TAES_LNC012837)". The record is from RNAcentral. Lineage: Eukaryota; Viridiplantae; Streptophyta; Magnoliopsida; Poales; Poaceae.
AAAAGAGCCAACUAUCAGGUCCAUCGUCUACCUAAUAUCUUUGACUUCCAUGUUCUCACCAGGCUACAAUCUAACGAUGGUGAUGGUUCAUGCAGGGUAGGGUCCAAAGUAGAUGCUGCUGGUCCCGUAUGUGGAGCAUUGACAAUUCUAAAACCUACUACAGGACUGCUGGAGAGAGAUUUAUCUGUCCGAAGUCGCCGAGGUCAUUCUAGGUUAUGCAUCUCCACUCUUAUUAUAAGUAGACGCGCAAAGCCAAUCUGUUGAUUUAAGGUCGCUAGAUCACAAGUACCUAAAUUGGUUUGAUUUUUCCUUCUCAAUGAGAUAUGUUUGCAUGGUGAAUUGCUUUGUUUUCAUGCUGUAGAUGAUUCCCAGGUGGUUAUUCGGACAGCAUGCUGCCACUCCAGAAGAACUAAGAUAUGUUGCUGUUCCCAAGUCUCAACAGCGACCACGGCCUCUUCUGCCAUGCAAACUUGGUCGGGUGUCUC